UGCAUUUUAGAAGUUGAGGAAAAUCACUUGUUCAAUGGUAUUGGCCCAAAAUGACCUAUAAUGUUUCCUCAUAACACAUAAAUUUAAAAGUUGAAUUUGCACUUAAUCUAAACAUCAAAUUUGAAGUAGACAUCUUCAAUACGAUCAUUCAACUUGAAUGGCUUUCAUCUCAUAAAAAUUGAGCAAGUUAUGGUCUUGGGAAUUUGACCUCCAAAUUAUGGUUUAGACAAAAUGACCUAU
RNAcentral lists this long non-coding RNA (240 nucleotides) under Lathyrus oleraceus (garden pea). Its description in RNAcentral is "Pisum sativum (pea) long non-coding RNA (PSAT_LNC007708)". Lineage: Eukaryota; Viridiplantae; Streptophyta; Magnoliopsida; Fabales; Fabaceae. The record is from RNAcentral.